This 344-nucleotide unclassified non-coding RNA is filed under the name Hevea brasiliensis (rubber tree). The record is from RNAcentral. Lineage: Eukaryota; Viridiplantae; Streptophyta; Magnoliopsida; Malpighiales; Euphorbiaceae.
AACAGCAUCUACAAGACCAUAUUCCACCGCCUCCCAGGGAUUCAUGAAAUUGUCACGAUCUGUAUCUAUCUCAAUCUGCUUCUCAGGCUUCCCUGAAAUUCUUGAUAGUAUUUUGUUCAUCUUCACCUUAUGAUACAUCAUCUCUCUGAUCAUUAAUCCCAUAUCUGUGGUUUUGCCUCCAGCAGUUCCUAGUGGUUGAUGGAUCAUGACUCUGGCAUUGGGCAUGCAAAAUCUCUUUCCUUUCGUUCCAGAAGCAAGUAGAAAUGCACCCAUAGAUGCCGCAAGGCCCAGGCAAACAGUAGAAACAUCAGCCUUGCAUAAUUUCAUGGCAUCAUAUAUUCCCA